GCUAAAUAUCUAGCCCCACUUCCUUAUAUUUACACCCCUUAUUUUCUUCUUCUAACCAAAACAUUUUUUCAGUCCAGUAAAGGCGAUUAAAAAACUCCUCGGAGCAAUAAACAUAGUACCGCAAGGGAAAGAUGAAAUAAAAAUGAAAUAGUUUUAAAGCACAAAAAAGUAGAGCUUAACUCUCGUACCUUUUGCAUCAUGAUUUAACUAGUCUAACCAAGCAAAAAGACUUUUAGUUUGACUUCCCGAACCUCGGCGAGCUACCUUAGGACAGCUUUUUGAGCUAAUCCGUCUCUGUUGCAAAAGAGUGGAAUGAUCUUAAGGUAGAGGUGAUAAACCAAACGAGCCCAGUGAUAGCUGGUUGCUUAUGAAAAGGAUUUUAGUCCUGCUUAAAGAUUUUUUGCCCUACAAAGCCUAGUCUUUAAAGUUAUUCAAAUAAGGUACAGCCUAUUUGAAAAAGGAUACAGCCUCAACUCUUGGGUUAUUUUUUAAGGAUUAAUGCCAAAGUGGGCCUAAAAGCAGCCAUCUUAAACGAAAGCGUCAAAGCUUACUCAUUUUUCCGUAUAAUUCCCCUACCUCCCCCAAACCCCUCAUUUUUAAAAAGCAGCUCUAUACCCAUAUAGAAAAUUUUAUGUUAAAACUAGUAAUAAGAAGAAAACCUUCUCCUCAAUGUGAGUGUAUAUCAGCAAGGAUUCUCCACUGAUUCUUAACGUCCCUAAUAAUAAAUGUAACAACUUAUCAAGAAAAACUUACUUCUCCUAACGUUAACCUAACACAAGAACAUUCAAGGAAAGAUUAAAAGAGAAAGAAGGAACUCGGCAAAUUUUAGCCCCGCCUGUUUACCAAAAACAUCGCCUCCUGAUUUUAUUAUGGGAGGUCCAGCCUGCCCAGUGACAUUGUUCAACGGCCGCGGUAUCCUAACCGUGCGAAGGUAGCGUAAUCACUUGUUCUUUAAAUGAGGACUAGUAUGAACGGCUUCACGAAGGCUAUACUGUCUCCUCUCCCUAAUCAAUGAAACUAAUCUCCUCGUGAAGAAGCGAGAAUUAAUCUAUAAGACGAGAAGACCCUAUGGAGCUUUAAACAACUGAAAUACUUGCUUCUUUUAUUCUACUUUCCGAAAAUAAAAUAUAAUCUAGCACCUUUAUUUCUAGUUUUAGGUUGGGGUGACCACGGAGCAAAAAAUAACCUCCACGCUGGAAGAAACUACUUUUUCUUAGCAAAAAGCUACAGCUUCAUGCAUCAACAAAUUGACUUCUAUUGACCCAAUAAUUUGAUCAACGAACCAAGUUACCCUAGGGAUAACAGCGCAAUCUAUUUCAAGAGCUCAUAUCGACAAAUAGGUUUACGACCUCGAUGUUGGAUCAGGGUAUCCCAGUGGUGCAGCCGCUACUAACGGUUCGUUGUGAACGAUAAAAAC
RNAcentral lists this ribosomal RNA (1417 nucleotides) under Hyloxalus subpunctatus (Bogota rocket frog). RNAcentral's name for it is "partial 16S ribosomal RNA". It matches the Rfam family "Bacterial large subunit ribosomal RNA", at positions 23 to 2594 of the family's 2925-position model. The record is from RNAcentral. Lineage: Eukaryota; Metazoa; Chordata; Amphibia; Anura; Dendrobatidae.